Molecule: long non-coding RNA, 701 nt
Organism: Lathyrus oleraceus (garden pea)
Lineage: Eukaryota; Viridiplantae; Streptophyta; Magnoliopsida; Fabales; Fabaceae
Exons: 3
Source: RefSeq, a predicted model, not a curated record
CGCAAAAACACAGUAGGAAGAGCAUAAAAAAAUGGUCGUGUGGGUGGCCGUUCUUGGCCGCGGUGGUGGCCGCCCGGCCGCAGUACCCCCCUCCAAGAGGUGUUGUGAUUUUGCAUCUUCUCCAACUCUUCCAAGCUCCAUUGAUACUUCUUCAAGGUUUUGAGUAGCAAAAUCUAAAGACUCAACCACAUGCAAUUAACAAUAUCCACCACACAAGAGGAUUCAUGGUAAUUACAUGGAAAUAGUGAAAGUUCAAGACUUACCAACGGAACCUAGACUUGCUCCGGUGCGUGUUGAAAUGUUACCGAAAAGAAGCAAAAUUCGGAAAAACUUCAAGAGUGGUGGAAGAAGUAUAUUGAAGCACCAAGGAAAGCAGGAGAAAAAGCCAUGGAAAGAGAACCUGGAGGAUGGAAAGUGUUGAAAAUCCUUUCAUGAAACAUGUUCAUGACAUAAUUUAUUUUUCCAUAAAAAUUGUGAAUUCUUGUGAUCAAAUGAAUGUGAGAUAUGUCUAGGAAUAUUUAGGAGUCAAAAUUGAGUCAAUGGUCAAAAAUUGACCAAAAGUCAACAGUUGAUCAAAAACUCAACCAUACCAAAAUGAUGUAAAUUUUUAUCAUUUUUCCUUGUAAUCCCUUAUCUUCACUUGUGUCUCAAACAAUAAGUCUUGUAUCAUGAAUAAAUGAAAUAUUAUAUGAAUUUCCAAU